CUUGAACUUUAUAAGAGGUCCAGCCUGCCCAGUGACUCUGUUCAACGGCCGCGGUAUCCUAACCGUGCGAAGGUAGCGUAAUCACUUGUUCUUUAAAUGCGGACUAGUAUGAAUGGCACUACGAGGGUUAUACUGUCUCCUUUUUCUAAUCAGUGAAACUAAUUUUCCCGUGAAGAAGCGGGGAUAUAACUAUAAGACGAGAAGACCCUAUGGAGCUUUAAACAACCCAGCAAUUACUUCUAAAAUUGUAAAUUUCGGAAUAUUCAUUUCUUAAGUAAUAUGUCUGCAAGUUUUUGGUUGGGGUGACCAUGGAGAAUAACAUAACCUCCAUAUUGAAUGAAUUCCCUUCUAAGCUGAAAAUUACCAAUUGAAGCAUCAACAUACUGACAUCUAUUGACCCA
This 401-nucleotide ribosomal RNA is filed under the name Rhinella margaritifera (mitred toad). Its description in RNAcentral is "partial 16S ribosomal RNA". It matches the Rfam family "Bacterial large subunit ribosomal RNA", at positions 1835 to 2422 of the family's 2925-position model. The record is from RNAcentral. Lineage: Eukaryota; Metazoa; Chordata; Amphibia; Anura; Bufonidae.